RNAcentral lists this ribosomal RNA (497 nucleotides) under uncultured bacterium. RNAcentral's name for it is "partial 16S ribosomal RNA". It matches the Rfam family "Bacterial small subunit ribosomal RNA", at positions 28 to 507 of the family's 1533-position model. The record is from RNAcentral.
GAUGAACGCUGGCGGCGUGCCUAAUACAUGCAAGUCGAGCGAACAGACGAGGAGCUUGCUCCUUUGACGUUAGCGGCGGACGGGUGAGUAACACGUAGGUAACCUACCUAUAAGACUGGGAUAACUUCGGGAAACCGGAGCUAAUACCGGAUAAUAUUUCGAACCGCAUGGUUCGAUAGUGAAAGAUGGCUUUGCUAUCACUUAUAGAUGGACCUGCGCCGUAUUAGCUAGUUGGCAAGGUAACGGCUUACCAAGGCAACGAUACGUAGCCGACCUGAGAGGGUGAUCGGCCACACUGGAACUGAGACACGGUCCAGACUCCUACGGGAGGCAGCAGUAGGGAAUCUUGCGCAAUGGGCGAAAGCCUGACGGAGCAACGCCGCGUGAGUGAUGAAGGUCUUCGGAUCGUAAAACUCUGUUAUUAGGGAAGAACAAACGUGUAAGUAACUGUGCACGUCUUGACGGUACCUAAUCAGAAAGCCACGGCUAACUACGUG